RNAcentral lists this ribosomal RNA (507 nucleotides) under uncultured Glomus. RNAcentral's name for it is "SSU rRNA". It matches the Rfam family "Eukaryotic small subunit ribosomal RNA", at positions 569 to 1078 of the family's 1831-position model. The record is from RNAcentral. Lineage: Eukaryota; Fungi; Glomeromycota; Glomeromycetes; Glomerales; Glomeraceae.
AGCAGCCGCGGUAAUUCCAGCUCCAAUAGCGUAUAUUAAAGUUGUUGCAGUUAAAAAGCUCGUAGUUGAAUUUCGGGGUUAGUAAGUUGGUCAUGCCUUUGGUAUGCACUGGCUUUACUGAUUCCUCCUUCUUGACGAACCGUGAUGUCACUAAUUUGGUGUUGCGGGAAAUCAGGACUGUUACUUUGAAAAAAUUAGAGUGUUUAAAGCAGGCUAACGCUUGAAUACAUUAGCAUGGAAUAAUGAAAUAGGACGUUAAUCCUAUUUUGUUGGUUUCUAGGAUCGACGUAAUGAUUAAUAGGGAUAGUUGGGGGCAUUAGUAUUCAAUUGUCAGAGGUGAAAUUCUUGGAUUUAUUGAAGACUAACUACUGCGAAAGCAUUUGCCAAGGAUGUUUUCAUUAAUCAAGAACGAAAGUUAGGGGAUCGAAGACGAUCAGAUACCGUCGUAGUCUUAACCAUAAACUAUGCCGACUAGGGAUCGGAUGAUGUUAAUUCUUUAAUGACUCA